GGGACAUGUGGGUUCUAAUCUUUUUCAUUGCUUAUAAGAAUUCUUAAAAAAGAAUUUCGAUCUUAGUUUUAUUUUGUUUUUUUAUUCAUUUUAUAAUGACAUACAUUGUUAACAUUUUGAAAUUCUACAUUCAUGGUAAGUGCAAGCAGGCGAGUAUUUAUAAAUAUUUAUUUUUGUGCAUUUAUCUUGAUAAACUUUAACAAGUAUUUACGGAUGAAAUUUUUUUAGGAAUUUUUAAAAUACAAAUAUUCACAUUUUAGGAUUAUGUGUAUUGCAUGUGAAUGAAACUAGUAAAUGCAAUCAGGAAUUAGGAUAAAUAUCUUUCAAAAUGGAAGAAUUGCUUGCAUGUGAAUGAAACUAGUAAAUGCAA
This 370-nucleotide unclassified non-coding RNA is filed under the name Hevea brasiliensis (rubber tree). The record is from RNAcentral. Lineage: Eukaryota; Viridiplantae; Streptophyta; Magnoliopsida; Malpighiales; Euphorbiaceae.